RNAcentral lists this ribosomal RNA (305 nucleotides) under uncultured bacterium. RNAcentral describes it as "bacterial SSU rRNA". It matches the Rfam family "Bacterial small subunit ribosomal RNA", at positions 335 to 633 of the family's 1533-position model. The record is from RNAcentral.
AUACCUAGGGGGGCAGCAGUGGGGAAUAUUGCGCAAUGGGCGAAAGCCUGACGCAGCGACGCCGCGUGAGGGAUGAAGGUCUUCGGAUCGUAAACCUCUGUCAGCAGGGAAGAACGGUCACUGUGCUAAUCAGCAGUGAAUUGACGGUACCUGCAAAGGAAGCACCGGCUAACUCCGUGCCAGCAGCCGCGGUAAUACGGCGGGUGCGAGCGUUAAUCGGAAUUACUGGGCGUAACGCGCUCGUAGGCGGUCUGUCAAGUCAAGGGUGAACUCCCCGCGCUCAACGUGGGACCUGCCUUUGAACC